Molecule: ribosomal RNA, 309 nt
Filed under: uncultured bacterium
Lineage: Bacteria
Description: bacterial SSU rRNA
Rfam family: Bacterial small subunit ribosomal RNA
Source: RNAcentral
GAUUAACGCUAGCGGCAGGCCUAAUACAUGCAAGUCGCACGGGAUUUCGGGUAGCAAUAUCUUGAUGAGAGUGGCGCACGGGUGCGUAACACGUAUGCAAAUCUACCUUUAACUGGGGAAUAGCUCACCGAAAGGUGAAUUAAUACCGCAUAAAAUCACAGAAGGACAUCCUUCAAUGAUUAAACCUACGGGGGUUAAAGAUGAGCAUGCGUCCGAUUAGCUAAGUUGGCGGGGUAAUAGCCCACCAAGGCAACCGAUCGGUAGGGGUCUGAGAGGAUGAUCCCCCACACUGGUACUGAGAUACGGACC